AUUGAACGCUGGCGGCAUGCUUUACACAUGCAAGUCGAACGGCAGCACGAAAGAGCUUGCUCUUUUGGUGGCGAGUGGCGAACGGGUGAGUAAUGCAUCGGAACGUACCGAGUAAUGGGGGAUAACUGUCCGAAAGGAUAGCUAAUACCGCAUACGCUUUGAGAAGGAAAGUGGGGGCUCUUCGGACCUCACGUUAUUCGAGCGGCCGAUGUCUGAUUAGCUAGUUGGUGGGGUAAAGGCCUACCAAGGCGACGAUCAGUAGCGGGUCUGAGAGGAUGAUCCGCCACACUGGGACUGAGACACGGCCCAGACUCCUACGGGAGGCAGCAGUGGGGAAUUUUGGACAAUGGGCGCAAGCCUGAUCCAGCCAUGCCGCGUGUCUGAAGAAGGCCUUCGGGUUGUAAAGGACUUUUGUUAGGGAGGAAAAGGAUAGUGUUAAUACCAUUAUCUGCUGACGGUACCUAAAGAAUAAGCACCGGCUAACUACGU
RNAcentral lists this ribosomal RNA (489 nucleotides) under uncultured bacterium. RNAcentral describes it as "partial 16S ribosomal RNA". It matches the Rfam family "Bacterial small subunit ribosomal RNA", at positions 30 to 506 of the family's 1533-position model. The record is from RNAcentral.